UCAAAAUUAAGCAUGGCAAAGUUCCUGCAAAAGAAAUUAUGUAAUUUUUUUACCAAACAACAUGGUUGUAAAAAUUGCUAGGCGCCAGUCGGCCAGUGGGGUACCGACUAGCGAUUAAUUGAGACUAAUUGGGAUUAAUUGGAUUGGGAUUUUUAUAUGUAUUAUUCAGCUUUAUAUAUGUACACACAUUUUUAUAGGUAAAUAUUUUAAGUAGACAGGUUUUAAGUUUUAAUCCCUCCUCGACCCAUAUUUUAUGUAUACAACAUUAAUCGCCGGAAUUACAUGGUUUGGUUGGAAACUGGCGGGAAUUUAGGUUUUGGCCGGAAUCGCCGAUUUUUGGCCGGCCAACUAGGGCCAAUUAGGGCUGACUACUGAUGAAUGAAAAAUUACUCAGGUGACUGGCCAACUAGCGAUUAAUCGCCGACUAGGCAAAUGGGUUGAAAGUCGCCCAAAGUCUAUU
This 460-nucleotide long non-coding RNA is filed under the name Helianthus annuus (common sunflower). RNAcentral describes it as "hypothetical non coding rna". Lineage: Eukaryota; Viridiplantae; Streptophyta; Magnoliopsida; Asterales; Asteraceae. The record is from RNAcentral.